GCAUGCAGUCGUGCGAGAGCCCCUUUCGGGGGGUGGACAGCGGCGAAAGGGAGAGUAACGCGUGGAUUACCUACCCCCGGGACCGGGAUAGCUGCGGGAAACUGCGGGUAAUACCGGAUAACGUCCCCGGACCAAAGGUGUGAUUCCGCCUGGGGAUGGGUCCGCGUCCUAUUAGCUAGUUGGUGGGGUAACGGCCUACCAAGGCAACGAUGGGUACCGGGCGUGAGAGCGUGACCCGGCUCACUGGGACUGAGACACUGCCCAGACACCUACGGGUGGCUGCAGUCGAGAAUCUUCGGCAAUGGGCGCAAGCCUGACCGAGCGACGCCGCGUGCGGGAUGAAGGCCUUCGGGUUGUAAACCGCUGUCAGAGGGGAGGAAAUGCCAUGGGGUUCUCUCCAUGGUUUGACCUAGCCUCAGAGGAAGUGCGGGCUAAGUUCGUGCCAGCAGCCGCGGUAAGACGAACCGCACGAACGUUAUUCGGAAUCACUGGGCUUAAAGGGUGCGUAGGCGGCCCGGAAAGUUGGGUGUGAAAUCCCUCGGCUUAACCGAGGAAUUGCGCCCAAAACUCUCGGGCUCGAGGAAGACAGAGGUGAGCGGAACUUGCGGUGGAGCGGUGAAAUGCGUUGAUAUCGCAAGGAACACCAGUGGCGAAAGCGGCUCACUGGGUCUUUUCUGACGCUGAGGCACGAAAGCUAGGGGAGCGAACGGGAUUAGAUACCCCGGUAGUCCUAGCUGUAAACGAUGAGCACUUGGUCGGAGGAUCUCCCAUAAUUUUCCGGCCGUAGCGAAAGUGUUAA
RNAcentral lists this ribosomal RNA (799 nucleotides) under uncultured bacterium. RNAcentral's name for it is "bacterial SSU rRNA". It matches the Rfam family "Bacterial small subunit ribosomal RNA", at positions 53 to 863 of the family's 1533-position model. The record is from RNAcentral.